This 635-nucleotide ribosomal RNA is filed under the name uncultured bacterium. RNAcentral describes it as "bacterial SSU rRNA". It matches the Rfam family "Bacterial small subunit ribosomal RNA", at positions 9 to 656 of the family's 1533-position model. The record is from RNAcentral.
GAGUUUGAUCCUGGCUCAGAAUCAACGCUGGCGGCGUGCCUCAGACAUGCAAGUCGAACGAUUAAACUUUCCUUCGGGAAAGAUAUAAAGUGGCGCACGGGUGAGUAACACGUAGGUAAUCUACCUUUGAGUGGGGAAUAACAAUCGGAAACGAUUGCUAAUACCGCAUAAUGCAGCGGCAUCGUAAGAUGACAGUUGUUAAAGGAGCAAUCCGCUUAAAGAGGAGCCUGCGGCAGAUUAGCUAGUUGGUAAGGUAAUGGCUUACCAAGGCUACGAUCUGUAACCGACCUGAGAGGGUGGUCGGUCACACUGACACUGAAUAACGGGUCAGACUCCUACGGGAGGCAGCAGUCGGGAAUUUUGGGCAAUGGGCGAAAGCCUGACCCAGCAACGCCGCGUGAAGGAUGAAGUAUUUCGGUAUGUAAACUUCGAAAGAAUAGGAAGAAUAAAUGACGGUACUAUUUAUAAGGUCCGGCUAACUACGUGCCAGCAGCCGCGGUAAUACGUAGGGACCAAGCGUUGUUCGGAUUUACUGGGCGUAAAGGGCGCGUAGGCGGCAGUUCAAGUCAGUUGUGAAAUCUCCGAGCUUAACUCGGAACGGUCAACUGAUACUGUUUUGCUAGAGUGCAGAAGGG